GCACAGUACUACAGCAGCACAGCAAGCUUCCAAAGCUUGGGGACAACACACAAAGGCUCACCCACCCACGCAAGCAACGCAAGCGCAGGCAGCAGGUGUCAUGUCACGGCGACGGCGGCCAGUCGAAGCCGGCGAAGGUCUCGCCGAAGCCACCGCCGUAGAACCUGACCUCCAGGUUCUCCAGGCCCUGGCCGUCGUCGUCCCAGACGGCCUCGUCGUCGUCGUCGUCGCUGCCGGCGGCGUAGUCGUAGUCGUCGUCGACGUCGUCCAUGAGCUCCCACGAGUAGAUGGAGGAGUCGUCCGAGUAGUCGUCGGAGCACUCCUCCCAGUAGCUGUUCUCGUAGCAGUCGUCGACGCGGGGUCCCAGGACGCGCAGCCCCGGGUGGCGGUCGCGCGGCAGGAGCUUGUCGUCCACCGCCCAGCAGCCGCGCAGGUCCAGGAACCUGAGCUCGCGGCACCGCCCCAGGAUCUCCGCCACCGCCUCCGUCGCCACCAGCAUGUACCCCAUCUCCAGGUGCCGCAGCCUGGGCAUGCUGCACGCGAUGGCGUGCGCCUCGUCGUGCUGGCACGCCCUGUCCGCCAGGUCGAUCGGGUGCAUCACCCGCCGCAGCCCCGCCAGGGACUUGCAGUGCUUGCCGAACGCCUCCAGGCCGCGGGCCCCCAUCUUCGUGCAGCUGCUGAUGUCGAGGAAAGUGACGUUCGGCAGCCGCGGCGCCACGGAUUCCACCAUGGAGUCGCUGAUCUCGCUCCUGGGGAUCUCCAAGGUCCGGAGAGCUCGUGCGCUAGCCAGUUUUCAGCAAAAGAGGAAGCAGGAUCAAGCCGGUGUGUAAUUGUGACCGCCUGAUCACUGUAUGCAUGUGCGC
RNAcentral lists this unclassified non-coding RNA (863 nucleotides) under Zea mays. Its description in RNAcentral is "misc RNA Zm00001eb255440". The record is from RNAcentral. Lineage: Eukaryota; Viridiplantae; Streptophyta; Magnoliopsida; Poales; Poaceae.